UGCCAGCCGCCGCGGUAACACGGGGGGCGCAAGCGUUAUUCGGAAUUAUUGGGCGUAAAGGGCGCGCAGGCGGUCUUGUCCGUCAGGUGUGAAAGCUCGGGGCUCAACCCCGGAAGUGCACUUGAAACAGCAAGACUUGAAUACGGUAGAGGAGAGAGGAAUUCCUGGUGUAGAGGUGAAAUUCGUAGAUAUCAGGAGGAACACCGAUGGCGAAGGCGGCUCGCUGGCUCGAUACUGACGCUGAGGCGCGAAAGCGUGGGGAGCAAACAGGAUUAGAUA
RNAcentral lists this ribosomal RNA (279 nucleotides) under uncultured bacterium. Its description in RNAcentral is "partial 16S ribosomal RNA". It matches the Rfam family "Bacterial small subunit ribosomal RNA", at positions 506 to 784 of the family's 1533-position model. The record is from RNAcentral.